UCAGUGCUUCCAAUCUGGUCAUGCACUUCUUUAAGAUGUGGAACCUGGGAGCUUUCCUCUUCAAAAUAGGGGUAAAUGUUUCGUAGGGGGGUAAGGAAGGUGCCGAGGUCUUAAUAAAAAACACUUCCCAAAAGAUAAAGAUUGGGAAGAAGUAGCUAAAUUCUAGAUUAAUGAUUAAUACAGAACGAAAGCAUGAUACUCACUCAUGAACCAACCGAUAAAAAUAAAACGACGUUUUUUUAAAUUUAUUUAAAGAAACUAGGUAAGUCAAAUACUACUAAAUAAAAAAAGGAGCAAUACCGCCCUCUUGAUAGAACAAGAAAGAGGUUAUUGCUCCUUUUUCUUUCAAAAAAACUC
This 357-nucleotide long non-coding RNA is filed under the name Panax ginseng (ginseng). RNAcentral describes it as "long non-coding RNA (PGIN_LNC007046)". The record is from RNAcentral. Lineage: Eukaryota; Viridiplantae; Streptophyta; Magnoliopsida; Apiales; Araliaceae.